Long non-coding RNA from Malania oleifera, 362 nucleotides. RefSeq lists it as uncharacterized. The record is from RefSeq and is a predicted model, not a curated record. The transcript is spliced from 3 exons. NCBI's taxonomy places the organism in Eukaryota, Viridiplantae, Streptophyta, Magnoliopsida, Santalales, Ximeniaceae.
CCAGAUUGCCCUGGAAUGCAUCACAGUUGAGAGUAAUCCCCACGCCCCACGGAACCCAACCCAAGGCCCCGCAGGGAGGUAAAUCGGGAUUUGCUCAAGGUAGCAGGAAUCUAUCCCGAGCAGCCAACCUCGGUCACAGGCUCAGCCGGGUCGCCCUUACCACUUGAACCAGCGCCCGGGGGAGAGAGAUAGCACAGGAGGUUUGUAGGAUUGUCAUUCUGUGAAUCACAUUCCUUCUCCCCUUAUGCUGACAUUUGAUGGCUGCUCUUUUGGAAUGUUGCUCUUCUUAUAAUGUAACCUAAAAUGAGAGGGUUUUUGUUUUUUUGCUUUUGUAUUUGUUUUUUGGCUUUUGAUUUUGUUUU